Acanthaster planci (crown-of-thorns starfish) is the source of this 2903-nucleotide long non-coding RNA. The record is from RefSeq and is a predicted model, not a curated record. NCBI's taxonomy places the organism in Eukaryota, Metazoa, Echinodermata, Asteroidea, Valvatida, Acanthasteridae.
UUUUCAGAUACCCAACGGUGACGUCAUGGCAAAUUUGGCCAACUGCAAAGCCCCGACAGGGGUAGCAUGGUCGACAGGUUAUCAGGGCGGCUAUGCAAAGAUUGAAGGCACUCUCUCAACGAAUGGGCAGUGGACCAGCAUGUACGAUGGGUGUUCCGCAAAUCCAAACAAAUUUGUCGGGGAGACGGUGUCUUUCCGUUUCGGUGGUGUAAGUGAACACACCGGCGAGUUCGUUCACACACAUUGUAAACCAUACAAGAUUGACCAGAACAACAGCAUCACGUCGCUCUGGGACUCGGACAAUGUUCGCGCCAUAUGGAUCCGGCCCUAAAGCCCCAACCAAGUUCGUCCCAAGCGGCGACAGAGAAGAGGAUAUCCCCAUGACAAAAAGCAAUCAACAGCCAUUGCUCUUGUCCGGGAGUUUUUCUUUUUACUUUCAAAGAUAGAUCAUAGUAAACUCCUGUGAUUCGGGAGUUGUGUGUGAACCUUUAAAUUAAACAAAAGUAACACAAAGUACAACUACAUCACAACUGACGAUCUAAAGUGGUAAUUUGGGGAGCUACGUAGCCUAUAUACUUAAAAGAUGUAAAUGUGUUCUUGCUUAUCUCGUAUAUACGGAUGGUCUGUGUAAUGCAGUUUUUUUGGCACAACCUUUGAAAAUGCACACACCUUGUCAUUUAGAGUAAUUAUUGUUUGCCAUUGCAGCUGGCAUUUCCGAAGGUAGUAGUGCUUACUGCUUUGAUUCUGAUAUAGUUUCCAUAUUUAUAAGCAAGUUGUGUCAUUAUAGACAGAACAACGUUAUAUUGUAUUGUUUUACUUAAAGGAAAUGGUGGAGUGUGUGAUCGUUUGAUCUAAAUUUCUUUUCAGUCGGAGAUUGUAAGUUAGAUAAGCACUUGGCAAUGAGCCAAGGAGUAGCCCUUGGAACACUAAAGCUACAAUCUGAAGAGUAUCUUCUCUAAGAGACAUCAAGAAAACAGCGACUCCUAUACAAAGUAUUAACAAAGCAUGCAGAAGUGUACAACGUUACAGAAAAAGUGCAGCUUUGAAAAAUUGGUUACCUUCAACUACUAGCUGAUAAGAGAAUAUUAUUAUAGAUUUUUGAACCUUUUUGUGUGCAGUCAAGUGGAUUAUUGUGUUUUUGUGCUGUAGAGAACACAUAGAUAUGUUAAUAACCUUCUACUAUUGGUAGAAAGCCUAAUUCACUGAUAUUACUUAUAUUCCAUAUCACAUACAUGUAUAUACAAAUUAAAUCUAAUCACGAAAUAAUUCUUUCCCUGUCGCCUUGAAACAUGCCAUGUUAUAGAAUAGGAUAAAUAUUAUAGGAUAUAACAAUACCAUAUUAUAGCCAGUAGGAGAUAAUCCACGUUGUUCGCUGUCUGCUUUAAAUUUAAGGUUCAUAAUUGCAGGUGAUUUCGCUGUUAUAGCUCAUAUAUUAAUUUUAGUAAACUGCUUUCGACAUCAAACGAAUUAAGGAAACAGGAGUCAAUCCAAAUUCGAUUCCUUUCAAGGUGAUUUGAGGAUGGCGAGCAUCUGCAAUCAGGAUUGAUCGUUUACUUGUUAACGCGUAAGCUUACGACUACCGUGUGUCGUUGGGCAUCGCUAGUGCUUCACAUGAGAAGACUUUGUUUUAGCUCACAUGCAUUGGGUUUAACAUUUGUGCGAAUCUAAAAAGCAGAAACUUAGGAGAAAAUGGAGAUACAUGUAUUCCAAAUCUGACAUGGAUUUAGGGUUACACAAUGCCGCUACUUAACUUGAGUAUAAGGCUAAGCGUGAAAUUUGCACAUACACAAUUCACAUACAUAACGAUCAAUUAAAUUUCGGGAUUGCAAACUCAUUGUGCACUACAGGAAAGUUGCACGAUCAUUUGUUCAAAAUGAUCAUUUGGUAACUGGCUAAGUAAUUCAUUUGCUAAUCUCCUUGCAAAGAAAGUCAACACAGUUUGUUCAAUACUGGACAUCAUUCCAAUAAUUGGUAUGGUCACCGGUGAAACUGCACAGAAUGCCUCAAAGUUUUUCAUGUUCUCGUGAACAAAGUAGUUAUAACAAUGGAAAAUGAAUCCCUUGCAUAAGGGUCAAACGGUGCAGCCUUGACUUUUCCAACUGGUUCUUGUUUUCAUGAGAGUUUCGUGGAACCAACCCUAACUAAUCAAGUUGCUAAGGAGGUGCUGGGACAUUGUACACUAUUUGGAAUUGUUAAAUGACAUAUUGACACCAGAAUUAUUUGGUACAUUUCACAGAGCAAUAGGCCCUAACUCUCCAAAAUUACAACAACGCUUUACUAUAGGGUAGCCAUCUUUCUUUAACUAUUGAAAGUAAUGUAACCAAACUGAGACUGAAAGAGAAAACUAGUCUGGUUCCUUGAAUCAAUAUGUGAAGUUAUAUUACUUUUGUCAUUUGGUGUACAAGGGCAAGAAUAAAAUGGCACCCUUAUGAUAAAGGGAUGUACGGCAUAAGCCUAACCCGUGGCGUGGCUAGGGCUAAAUGCCUGGGCCCGGGGGCACCCGUGGUGCACACCUUUUUUUUUUUCAAGGGGACACCACUAGAAAAUGAGAUUUCAAAUCGGGGAGGGGCACCUGGAGGGCACGAGCGUCCGCUGCCUCCCCCCCAUGUACGCCACUCCUGUUUCCUGUUUAAAGAAUCUUGGCUUUUGAGUUGAUGAAUAUAAGUUGAAUGUACAAAAUGAUAAGUCGUGCAUGGCUUAUUUUCUCCAGUCGUAUGAUAUUUGUGUUAUUAAGUGGUAAUUAAAAUAAGAAAGUGGUGACCGGAGAUCACUAAGGCAAGAGGAUGCGGCUUAUUAAACAACGAUUAGCAACAAAUGGUGAAAAGUAAAAGUGGAAUGACACGAAAAAGAAGGGAAACGGAAUAGAAAUCACCAAUUUACUUGAAGACACCUCGGGAUUCACC